GCUCCCUAUACGGAAACAGGCAUUCUAAACCAGAAUCUAACACUCAAGACGAAAAGCAUGAACUAAAAAAGCAAUCUCUUCAGUUCCUUACUUCUGUUUCAGCGCACUACUUCUUGCCUACCAGAUCACUCCUUCUUCCUAUUAAGAGUCCACAACUUAGUACUUGUUGCCUGAAGCCCAUCUCCUACAUUCAGUCAUUCAGGGAUAUUACAUUUUGUUUCGAAAAUGACGGCAGCUCACUCCAUCUCUCUAAUAAGAUCAAAAUUGUGUUCACUUUAAGAGAAUCAAAAACACACACAGAUCCUGCUCUGGCACCUGCUAAAGGGGAACUUCCAGAACUCACCAAGUCUUUCAGAUGAAGAAGCCCACAAAAGCCAGAUACAGUUGUAACAUAUGGAAGUGAAAUUGCUUUUGUCAGCCAAAAUGUAAAAUGAGGUAGUGAAUGAUGAGGCAUUAAUUCUUUUUUUUUUUCACUAAUUCAUUUUUCUUCUGCCAGCUAUAUUGUCAUAGCUUAUUCUUGUUUGUGUAUUUAAUGAACACAAAAGCAUUAACAAGAGAUGAGCAACAGUUACAAGGAAACAAGAACAAGAGGUCAACACUUAAUGUAGACUGUUGGGAAAACAGUAAGACAAUUCCUAGCACAAUGAAGCUUGGAAAACAAUUUUGUUCUCAACUGGCAUCCAAAGUAUCUGUCAGAUCAACUGAAGAUGUGACAAUAUCAUGUGGAGGUUGUAUUCACUUGCUUGCCUGCCUUUGCUCAAAGACUUUUUUGUGUGAAGAUAAGGAUCCUCUUUGAUCUCUUGCUAUAUCCUUGGGGGCAUAAGACAUCAUUUUCUCUGUGGAGCCACCUUGGCAAUUUUGCUCCUGUUGCCAGUGCAGCUACAGUUUUCUCAGGAAACUUUAUCUUUGCUGCUUUUUUCUUACACAGAACUUGAACUAGGGUACGU
This 947-nucleotide long non-coding RNA is filed under the name Phasianus colchicus (ring-necked pheasant). RNAcentral's name for it is "lncRNA (ENSPCLG00000017053.1)". Lineage: Eukaryota; Metazoa; Chordata; Aves; Galliformes; Phasianidae. The record is from RNAcentral.